GCAUAUCAAUAAGCGGAGGAAAAGAAACUAACAAGGAUUCCCCUAGUAGCGGCGAGCGAAGCGGGAAGAGCUCAAAUUUGUAAUCUGGCACCUUCGGUGUCCGAGUUGUAAUCUCUAGAAGUGUUUUCCGCGUUGGACCGCACACAAGUCUGUUGGAAUACAGCGGCAUAGUGGUGAUACCCCAUUACACGGUGCGGACGCCCAGCGCUUUGUGAUACACUUUCGACGAGUCGAGUUGUUUGGGAAUGCAGCUCAAAUUGGGUGGUAAAUUCCAUCUAAAGCUAAAUAUUGGCGAGAGACCGAUAGCGAACAAGUACCGUGAGGGAAAGAUGAAAAGCACUUUGGAAAGAGAGUUAAAAGUACGUGAAAUUGUUGGAAGGGAAACGCUUGAAGUCAGACUUGCUUGCCGGGCUUGCUCGGUUUGCAGGCCAGCAUCAGUUUUCUGGGACGGAUAAUGGCAGUUAGAAUGUAGCAGUCUCGGCUGUGUUAUAGCUUUCUGCUGGAUACGUCCUGGGGGACUGAGGAACGCAGCGUGCCGUAUGGCGAGGGCUUUGGUCCUUUCACGCUUAGGAUGCUGGUGGAAUGGCUUUAAACGACCCGUCUUGAAACACGGACCAAGGAGUCUAACAUGCUUGCGAGUAUUUGGGUGUCAAACCCGGAUGCGUAAUGAAAGUGAAUGGAGGUGGGAAGCGCAAGCUGCACCAUCGACCGAUCUGGAUUUUCUAAGAUGGAUUUGAGUAAGAGCACGUAUGUUGGGACCCGAAAGAUGGUGAACUAUGCCUGAAUAGGGCGAAGCCAGAGGAAACUCUGGUGGAGGCUCGUAGCGGUUCUGACGUGCAAAUCGAUCGUCAAAUUUGGGUAUAGGGGCGAAAGACUAAUCGAACCAUCUAGUAGCUGGUUCCUGCCGAAGU
This 911-nucleotide ribosomal RNA is filed under the name Rhodotorula toruloides. Its description in RNAcentral is "LSU rRNA". It matches the Rfam family "Eukaryotic large subunit ribosomal RNA", at positions 38 to 967 of the family's 3401-position model. Lineage: Eukaryota; Fungi; Basidiomycota; Microbotryomycetes; Sporidiobolales; Sporidiobolaceae. The record is from RNAcentral.